This is a non-coding RNA of Ameiurus melas (black bullhead), 74 nucleotides long. Lineage: Eukaryota; Metazoa; Chordata; Actinopteri; Siluriformes; Ictaluridae. The record is from the annotation of a GenBank genome assembly.
GUCAGUGGUAGCUUGGUGGUUAAAGCAUUAGGUCACUGAUCGGAAGGUUGGGGGUUCAAGCCCCAGCACUGCCA